RNAcentral lists this ribosomal RNA (253 nucleotides) under uncultured bacterium. RNAcentral describes it as "partial 16S ribosomal RNA". It matches the Rfam family "Bacterial small subunit ribosomal RNA", at positions 524 to 776 of the family's 1533-position model. The record is from RNAcentral.
UACGAAGGGUGCAAGCGUUACUCGGAAUUACUGGGCGUAAAGCGUGCGUAGGUGGUUUGUUAAGUCUGAUGUGAAAGCCCUGGGCUCAACCUGGGAAUUGCAUUGGAUACUGGCAGGCUAGAGUGCGGUAGAGGAUGGCGGAAUUCCCGGUGUAGCAGUGAAAUGCGUAGAGAUCGGGAGGAACACCAGUGGCGAAGGCGGCUACCUGGACCAGCACUGACACUGAAGCACGAAAGCGUGGGGAGCAAACAGG